Molecule: ribosomal RNA, 727 nt
Filed under: bacterium
Lineage: Bacteria
Description: bacterial SSU rRNA
Rfam family: Bacterial small subunit ribosomal RNA
Source: RNAcentral
AGGAGGAGCUUGCUCCUCCGGAUUAGUGGCGAACGGGUGAGUAAUACGUGAGCAAUGUGCCCUUGACUCUGGGAUAAGCGCUGGAAACGGCGUCUAAUACCGGAUACGACCCUCGGAGGCAUCUCCUGUGGGUGGAAAGAACUUCGGUCAAGGAUCAGCUCACGGCCUAUCAGCUAGUUGGUGAGGUAACGGCUCACCAAGGCGACGACGGGUAGCCGGCCUGAGAGGGUGACCGGCCACACUGGGACUGAGACACGGCCCAGACUCCUACGGGAGGCAGCAGUGGGGAAUAUUGCACAAUGGGCGCAAGCCUGAUGCAGCAACGCCGCGUGAGGGACGACGGCCUUCGGGUUGUAAACCUCUUUUAGCAGGGAAGAAGCGAAAGUGACGGUACCUGCAGAAAAAGCACCGGCUAACUACGUGCCAGCAGCCGCGGUAAUACGUAGGGUGCAAGCGUUGUCCGGAAUUAUUGGGCGUAAAGAGCUCGUAGGCGGUUUGUCGCGUCUGCUGUGAAAACCCGAGGCUCAACCUCGGGCUUGCAGUGGGUACGGGCAGACUAGAGUGCGGUAGGGGAGAUUGGAAUUCCUGGUGUAGCGGUGGAAUGCGCAGAUAUCAGGAGGAACACCGAUGGCGAAGGCAGAUCUCUGGGCCGUAACUGACGCUGAGGAGCGAAAGCAUGGGGAGCAAACAGGCUUAGAUACCCUGGUAGUCCAUGCCGUAAACGUUG